CAACAGUAGUAUACCGCUGUUCAAAACUCAUAAAUCCACGGACAAAAAACAAAAUCGGGGUAACAAACUAAAACCGAGGGAAACGAAUUGAAUAUAAGAGGAGAACAACGACACAACACUAAAAUGUAACACACACAGAAACGGACCAAGCAUCAGACAAAAUCCCACGAGAAUAACAAAUAUAACACCAAACCAAAUACAUGAAUUUGGGAUAGACAAGUACCGUGGCACGUCUUAUCGUAAUGUGAAAUUACACUCAAAAAUAAGAGAAAACAAACGACGCAACGUUAAAAUGUAACACACAC
This 305-nucleotide long non-coding RNA is filed under the name Mytilus galloprovincialis (Mediterranean mussel). Lineage: Eukaryota; Metazoa; Mollusca; Bivalvia; Mytilida; Mytilidae. The record is from RNAcentral.